This 228-nucleotide ribosomal RNA is filed under the name uncultured Pseudomonadales bacterium. Its description in RNAcentral is "partial 16S ribosomal RNA". It matches the Rfam family "Bacterial small subunit ribosomal RNA", at positions 103 to 334 of the family's 1533-position model. The record is from RNAcentral. Lineage: Bacteria; Pseudomonadati; Pseudomonadota; Gammaproteobacteria; Pseudomonadales.
CGGGUGAGUAAUGCCUAGGAAUCUGCCUGGUAGUGGGGGACAACGUUUCGAAAGGAACGCUAAUACCGCAUACGUCCUACGGGAGAAAGCAGGGGACCUUCGGACCUUGCGCUAUCAGAUGAGCCUAGGUCGGAUUAGCUAGUUGGUGAGGUAAUGGCUCACCAAGGCGACGAUCCGUAACUGGUCUGAGAGGAUGAUCAGUCACACUGGAACUGAGACACGGUCCAG